GUCUAUUAUUCCUUUCUCCCAUUUUGUUACUGAUCAUAAUCACUAGUACCACCGAUCAAGCGGCCGCCCUUGCUCAGCCGCAGCCAGCAGCUGAUCAUCUGCUAAGCCACUUCUGUUCAAACCACAAAGGUAACUACACCACGACGGGUGCCUAUCGCACAAACCUUAACCACCUUCUCUCAUCCCUUCCCUUCAAGGGUAGCGGCAACGGCUUUUAUAGUUCUUCAUAUGGCCGAAACACUACAUCCGGCGCAAUAUAUGCAAUCGGACUAUGUAAAGGAGACAUUGGAACCACGCGCCACUGCCUUCGUUGCCUCAAUACCUCUAGAAGUGCUCUCAUGGAGCUUUGUGCCAAUCAGAAGGAAGCUAUUGUUUGGUACGACAACUGCAUGCUGCGCUACUCAAACCGCUCCCUAUAUGGCGUCAUGGACACGCUGCCUGCUUUCGAUUUGUGGAGCACUCAAAGCGUACCAUCAUCGGAGUUUGAUGUAUUUUUCCGGCAGCUCAGGUGGUUACUAGAAGCCCUAAGAAACAAAGCUGCGAAAGGGGGUUCUCUUAAGUUUGCGAAAAAUAACGCAACCAUUCUCAACUAUAGUAACGGACUGUCUUCCUUAACGGCACUUGUGCACUGCACCCCUGAUUUGUAAUAACCUCAUCUUCCACUUACUAGUUAUUGAAUUUUCUGGUUUUAUCACAAAUUUAUAGUGGCAAAUACUUUGUUUAAAAAAAUUGAGGUGUGCUCUUUGUGUUUCAAGCAUUAAGAGAGGUAGUGCGACACUAGUUGUAUUUUACUCUACAUGUUGAUAGAUGGUGGUGUACCAGCUCCAGAAGAAAAGAAAGAAAAUCUCUCACUCUCUCCCUCUCUGCCGAAACCAGCAACCAAAACAGAGCAUUCCUUCUCCAAGCUUGUUCUCGCUCCACAGGCCUUUGAAUCGACCCAGACCACGUUCCACAGCUUCGCCUCUUCCUUUCGCAGCUGCCGGUAACAGCCUUUCGCCGUCUCGUGGGCCGUACACGGCGGUGGAGCACGAGGCCGGUUUACCCCCGUUUUGAUUUCAAGCUUGAUAUCUCAAGUUACCAUUCACCACUCCUCACCAAACUCCAUCCACAAGCUCACCUCAACGUCCUGAAGCUCCCAGAAGUGGCCUUGCACGGCGGCGCUACUCGUGGUGGCGGCUGGAAGCCAGACCCGAUCAAAUCGAAAACCAAAGCUUCGAUCGACAUAUCUCGCGCUACAGGAUGUUGUUUUGAGUGUUUCUUGAACUGGUGAACUCAGAGUGAGGAUCUGAACAACUUUCCAGAAGGUAUCGAGGCCUGAAGUUGCAGUUUUUACGUCGAACUAGGAGCUCACCGGUUUCUGGGUUUUUUCCGGCCAACCCGACUGGUUUGAGGUGAUCGACAGUUUGAUUUGGUGGACGAUUCGUGAAAGUGUAUUUUGAGCUGUUAAGAAGACGCAGCGGGAAUUUAGAGCGGGAAAUCCUACAGGUCAGGAGAACCAGGACGGUGAUCGGGCUGCUUAGAGUAGUGUUAUGUGAAUUACAGCAUUAUAUUGUGAGGUUUGUUAUGCUCAUUUAGAGCUUUGCAAUUUUACUUUGUAAGAGUGAAUUGUAAUAAUUAACUCGAGGUUUUCGAGUUUUUGUGUUGAGUGGCGAGUGGUGUGUUUGUUUGUGAGAAAAAAAUUCAGAACGUUAUUUGUAUUAAUUGUUUAUUCAUGUUUCGGAUUUGAAUUGGUUAUUCAAAAUUCGGGGCGUGACAUGAU
This is a long non-coding RNA of Rosa rugosa (rugosa rose), 1759 nucleotides long. RefSeq lists it as uncharacterized. NCBI's taxonomy places the organism in Eukaryota, Viridiplantae, Streptophyta, Magnoliopsida, Rosales, Rosaceae. The transcript is spliced from 3 exons. The record is from RefSeq and is a predicted model, not a curated record.